GAUGAACGCUGGCGGCGUGCCUAAUACAUGCAAGUCGAGCGAACAGACGCGGAGCUUGCUCCUCUGUCGUUAGCGGCGGACGGGUGAGUCACACGUGGAUAACCCACCUAUAAGACUGGGAUAACCUCGGGACACCGGCGCUUAUCGCGGAUAAUCUAUUGAACCGCAUGGGUCAUUAGUGAAAGACGGUGUUGCUGGCACUUCUCGAUGCAUCUGCGCCGCAUUAGCUAGUUGGGAAGGUAACGGCUUACCACGGCGACGAUGCGUAGCCGACCUGAGAGAGUGAUCGGCCACACGGGAACUGAGACACGGUCCAGACGCCUACGGGAGGCAGCAGUAGGGAAUCGUAGGCAAUGGGGGAAAGCCUGACGGAGCAACGGGGCGUGAGUGAUGAAGGUCUUCGGAGCGGAAAACUCUGUUAUGAGGGAAGAACAAAUGUGUAAGUAACUAAAGACGGAUUGACGGUACCUGGUAAGAAAGCCACGGCUAACUACGUG
This 497-nucleotide ribosomal RNA is filed under the name uncultured bacterium. RNAcentral's name for it is "partial 16S ribosomal RNA". It matches the Rfam family "Bacterial small subunit ribosomal RNA", at positions 28 to 507 of the family's 1533-position model. The record is from RNAcentral.